RNAcentral lists this ribosomal RNA (467 nucleotides) under uncultured bacterium. Its description in RNAcentral is "partial 16S ribosomal RNA". It matches the Rfam family "Bacterial small subunit ribosomal RNA", at positions 28 to 506 of the family's 1533-position model. The record is from RNAcentral.
GACGAACGCUGGCGGCGUGCUUAACACAUGCAAGUCGAACGGAAAGGCCCUGCUUUUGUGGGGUGCUCGAGUGGCGAACGGGUGAGUAACACGUGAGUAACCUGCCCUUGACUUUGGGAUAACUUCAGGAAACUGGGGCUAAUACCGGAUAGGAGCUCCUGCUGCAUGGUGGGGGUUGGAAAGUUUCGGCGGUUGGGGAUGGACUCGCGGCUUAUCAGCUUGUUGGUGGGGUAGUGGCUUACCAAGGCUUUGACGGGUAGCCCGCCUGAGAGGGUGACCGGCAAAUUUGAAACAGAAAAACGGCCCGGGACCCUAGGGGGGGAAGAAGGGGGAAAUAUGCAAAAAGGGGGGGAAGCCAAAUGAGGCAAGGCCGCGGGGGGGAUGGCGGCCUUCGGGUUGAAAACCUCUUUCGCCGGGGAGGAAGGGGGAGUGACGGUAAUGGGAAAAAGAGCACCGGCAAAACACGU